GCCAAUGAGUGGAAAUUGUAACAACUGAAGCAAUGUCCAAUUGAUCCAACUUCUCUUCCAUGAACCUAUCAGGUAUUCACUUAUGUUAUUCCAAUUGACAGAAACAAAGAUUUUAAUUACAUGGAACGCCAUAAUUUCUAGUUGUUGUCUUAUGGAUAGAUUUAAGGAAGCCUUCUUUCUUUCAAGAAAGAAUUAGAUGGAAUUCGAAUAGAGCUGCAAGAAACCGAUCUUCUUGCCGUUGCUCCCAAGGUUCAUCCAGCCGGUUCUGAAACUAGACAAAUCUAAGACGACCUUGAACAAACUCAAACCCGAG
Molecule: long non-coding RNA, 313 nt
Filed under: Vitis vinifera (wine grape)
Lineage: Eukaryota; Viridiplantae; Streptophyta; Magnoliopsida; Vitales; Vitaceae
Description: long non-coding RNA (VVIN_LNC005020)
Source: RNAcentral